Molecule: ribosomal RNA, 253 nt
Filed under: uncultured bacterium
Lineage: Bacteria
Description: partial 16S ribosomal RNA
Rfam family: Bacterial small subunit ribosomal RNA
Source: RNAcentral
UACGGAGGGAGCUAGCGUUGUUCGGAAUUACUGGGCGUAAAGCGCACGUAGGCGGCUUUGUAAGUUAGAGGUGAAAGCCUGGAGCUCAACUCCAGAAUUGCCUUUAAGACUGCAUCGCUUGAAUCCAGGAGAGGUGAGUGGAAUUCCGAGUGUAGAGGUGAAAUUCGUAGAUAUUCGGAAGAACACCAGUGGCGAAGGCGGCUCACUGGAUUGGUAUUGACGCUGAGGUGCGAAAGCGUGGGGAGCAAACAGG